GCACUUUGUUCAUGAAAAGGAAGUGAAUGUGGUCCAUUUCCUUCCCGUGGAGAGAAAACGGAAAAGACAAGUUACAUUUUUUGUUCAACACGAGCACACAGCAUGGAAGUGACGACACCCCAUUUCCAUCAAACGACAUCAGAAAAAGGUCGAAAAUAAACAAACUUCUCUGUUUUCUUUAAUUCUCAUGGUCCAUUAUCGUUGUUAGUGGCAUAGCCACCAAGCCAAAGUGAAACUCCUUGCCAACCGCAAUAACCUCCAAAAAACACGACCCAGAGAAUCUAUUAGAAUACCAAAACAACCAGUCUUAAUUAGCUGGCAAAUUCUUGAUACCCCCUUCUUUUCUGCUCGAUUUCUCAAGAUACCCCCUUCUUAUCUCUCUAUGAGUCUUUGUCUGUUAUGUGCCUAAACUUCUUGCUAAAGUUGGUCGUGUUGAAAUUGACACUUCAUUGAUAUAAAGCAGAGAGGGGUUCGAUUUUCUUGUUUUCU
RNAcentral lists this unclassified non-coding RNA (489 nucleotides) under Hevea brasiliensis (rubber tree). Lineage: Eukaryota; Viridiplantae; Streptophyta; Magnoliopsida; Malpighiales; Euphorbiaceae. The record is from RNAcentral.